Molecule: long non-coding RNA, 1005 nt
Organism: Gasterosteus aculeatus aculeatus (three-spined stickleback)
Lineage: Eukaryota; Metazoa; Chordata; Actinopteri; Perciformes; Gasterosteidae
Source: Ensembl
CCCGGUCGUGGGUAGAAAACAAAUCUCAUUACAAAGGCAGCGGGAGGAGGAGGCGGGUGGAAAUGGGAGGCGGAGGAGGGACGAGGACCUACCGUUGUUGCCGAAGUCCAGCGAGUACUUGACCACGUGGUAGUUAUUCCACACGUACAGCAGGUUGUCCCUGGGGUUGUAAUCCACGGCGGCGAUGUACUGGUAGGAGUUUGGGAACGGUAUGCCGACCACCACCUCCUUGCUCUUAUCCGUGUUGUACAUGUAGUCGAUCUUGUUGCCCGUCCCUUCGUUGUCGUCGUCCUCGUAGACGGUCUUCACCACGUACAGCACCCCGCAGAUCAUGAACGCGUUGGACGCCGAGCGCUUGUCGUAGCUGGUGUCCCACGAGCCCUCGAUGCGCAGCGUGUAGGGGUUGAGCUGGCUCACCACCAUGCGCCCGUUGUUCUGCUCCGUGGCGUAGAUCACCCACAGCCCGUUCUCGUCCACCGCCAGGUCGAUGUCCGACUUCCCCCCCCAGCGGUACGGCGAGGUGUCGUGGUAGUUGGCGUUGGCGAUGAUGGCCUCGCCGCUCUUGAUGCGGGUGCGCAGGUCGAACUUGACGAUGUUGCGGGUGCGCUCCUUGUUGAAGAAGAGCGCGCCGUCGUAGACGACGAAACCAGUCCCGUCCACGCGGUGCGGCAGUUUUGUAGGUGGUGGUGGGGCGGCCGGCGAUGAAGUCCUCCUUCGACGAGUACUCCGUCAGCGUGUCCGUGCGGUACGGCGUCCAGGGCAUGUAGUAGAUCUUGUCGGAGGCCUGCAGAGGGUCUUUGCACCACGCGCCCGACUGGUGGUCCGACUCGAAGAGGUGCUCACUUUGGUAGACUCCUCUCAGAAUGCCGGGGCAGAGAAAUACUGAUGGAGCAAAUAAGAACGAAUUAGAACGAACGCUUCUGCUCCCCGGGUUCUUUUGACGGGGCCUUGCAAACGUUUGGCUCUUUUGGUGAAUGUCGAGUUGUGCCUCGACUCAAGCUUAAC